AUUGAACGCUGGCGGAAUGCUUUACAUAUGCAAGUCGAGCGGCAGCGCGGCCUUCGGGCUGGCGGCGAGCGGCGAACGGGUGAGUAAUGCAUCGGAACAUGCCCAGUCGUGGGGGAUAACACUUCGAAAGAAGUGCUAAUACCGCAUACGUCCUGAGGGGGAAAGCGGGGGAUCGCAAGACCUCGCGCGAUUGGAGUGGCCGAUGUCAGAUUAGCUAGUUGGUGGGGUAAAGGCCUACCAAGGCGACGAUCUGUAGCUGGUCUGAGAGGAUGAUCAGCCACACUGGGACUGAGACACGGCCCAGACUCCUACGGGAGGCAGCAGUGGGGAAUUUUGGACAAUGGGGGCAACCCUGAUCCAGCCAUUCCGCGUGAGUGAAGAAGGCCUUCGGGUUGUAAAGCUCUUUCGGCAGGAACGAAACGGUGGGCUCUAACAUAGUCCGCUAAUGACGGUACCUGAAGAAGAAGCACCGGCUAACUACGUG
RNAcentral lists this ribosomal RNA (484 nucleotides) under uncultured bacterium. Its description in RNAcentral is "partial 16S ribosomal RNA". It matches the Rfam family "Bacterial small subunit ribosomal RNA", at positions 30 to 507 of the family's 1533-position model. The record is from RNAcentral.